GAUUUGAUUUCUAGCUUUCUCAAACAAAAUGACUGAGGCCUUCUUCCACAGUGGUGUAUUUCACUUCAGGGUAGAGCUCAGAAGCUUCGUAUCCGAAUGAUGGAUCGAUCUCGAAGUUGGUGCAGUCACCAUUGACAAAGAUUGAGUGACUGAUGGCCAACACAAUAUUGAUUGGGAUUGGAGACUCUGCAAGAAUUUGAUAAAAUGCAUGAAUAAAUAACCAAAGUAUAAUAAGAUUCCUAUGAACAAAUCCAAAAUAAGAGCAGGAGAUUUUAUCAACCUUGGAUCUGUUUGAGAAGUUGGUCCUCAGGAACAUAUGUUUUCUCAAGGGCUUUGCCAAUCAACUUCUCCCACAGGGCGAUGAGCUCGUUAAAUGAGUAGGUGUUCUUGGGAGGCUUGAUGAAUAGAGUCUUGUUCGCUGUUCUGGGGUCAUCGACAGCUUUGAUGGUGUACGUUCCGAUGUCAGCUUCAUGGUUGAAAA
Molecule: long non-coding RNA, 481 nt
Filed under: Gossypium barbadense (sea-island cotton)
Lineage: Eukaryota; Viridiplantae; Streptophyta; Magnoliopsida; Malvales; Malvaceae
Description: long non-coding RNA (GBAR_LNC013403)
Source: RNAcentral